Molecule: ribosomal RNA, 497 nt
Filed under: uncultured bacterium
Lineage: Bacteria
Description: partial 16S ribosomal RNA
Rfam family: Bacterial small subunit ribosomal RNA
Source: RNAcentral
GACGAACGCUGGCGGCGUGCCUAAUACAUGCAAGUAGAACGCUGAAGCGAGGAGCUUGCUCUUCUUGGAUGAGUUGCGAACGGGUGAGUAACGCGUAGGUAACCUGCCUUGUAGCGGGGGAUAACUAUUGGAAACGAUAGCUAAUACCGCAUAACAAUGGAUGACACAUGUCAUUUAUUUGAAAGGGGCAAUUGCUCCACUACAAGAUGGACCUGCGUUGUAUUAGCUAGUAGGUGAGGUAAUGGCUCACCUAGGCGACGAUACAUAGCCGACCUGAGAGGGUGAUCGGCCACACUGGGACUGAGACACGGCCCAGACUCCUACGGGAGGCAGCAGUAGGGAAUCCUCGUCAAUGGGGGCAACCCUGACCGAGCAACGCCGCGUGAGUGAAGAAGGUUUUCGGAUCGUAAGGCUCUGUUGUAAGUCAAGAACGGGUGUGAGAGUGGAAAGUUCACACUGUGACGGUAGCUUACCAGAAAGGGACGGCUAACUACGUG